Molecule: ribosomal RNA, 253 nt
Filed under: uncultured bacterium
Lineage: Bacteria
Description: partial 16S ribosomal RNA
Rfam family: Bacterial small subunit ribosomal RNA
Source: RNAcentral
UACGUAGGGUGCGAGCGUUAAUCGGAAUUACUGGGCGUAAAGCGUGCGCAGGCGGCGCCGCAAGUCAGGCGUGAAAUCCCCGAGCUUAACUUGGGAAUGGCGCUUGAAACUACGGUGCUGGAGUGUGGCAGAGGAAGGUGGAAUUCCACGUGUAGCGGUGAAAUGCGUAGAGAUGUGGAGGAACACCGAUGGCGAAGGCAGCCUCCUGGGCCAACACUGACGCUCAUGCACGAAAGCGUGGGGAGCAAACAGG